Physeter macrocephalus (sperm whale) is the source of this 896-nucleotide long non-coding RNA. RefSeq lists it as uncharacterized. NCBI's taxonomy places the organism in Eukaryota, Metazoa, Chordata, Mammalia, Artiodactyla, Physeteridae. The transcript is spliced from 3 exons. The record is from RefSeq and is a predicted model, not a curated record.
UCCAAAGGCAAUCCAGCGGUGAAAAGUUAGGAGUCCAAAACGUUCAGAUUUGGACUUGCAAAGACCUGUGAACUUAUAGCAUUUCCCCAGUUAAAAGAAAAAUAAGGGCAGAAGAAGUAAGAAAGAAAAGAAAAAGCCACCUCCACAGGCAUAGCAAUGAUCACGUGACCUGGCGCCCCAGGUUUCCAAGCAGCUGAUCUGCAUGUACACAGGUACAGAGUUCCUGGGCACAGAGGACGCAAACAGGCUUGCACUUCAUUAAACGUGUGGGUCCCAGGAGACAGAUUGUUCAUGGUGAAGGGAGCAAGCUGCCAUGCCAUAAGGCAGUCUUGUGGAGAGGCCCUCACAUCUGUGAAUGGCAGUGGAUCUUCUGAGGCCUGCCAACAGCCACGUGAAUGAGCCUGGAAGUGCAUCCUGUCUCUUCCUUCACCCAAACUGAGCCUUCAGAUGAGAUCACAGCCUUGGCUGACACCUUGACUGCAUUCUCAUGAGAGACCUUGAGCCAGAACCACUCAGGAGAUUUCCCUGGUAGUGCAGUGGCUAAGAAUCUGCCUGCCAAUGCAGGGAACGUGGGUUCGAUCCCUGGUCCGGGAAGAUCUCACAUGCCGCGGAGCAACUAAGCCCCUGUGUCACAGCUACUGAGACCACGCGCCACAACUACUGAAGCCCACGCGCCCUAGAGCCCGUGCACCACAACUACUGAGCCCACGUGCCGCAGCUACUGAAGCCUAUGCACUCUAGGGCCCGUGUGCUGCAACUACUGAAGCCUGAGCGCCUAGAGCCUGUGCUCCGCAACAAGAGAAGCCACCGCAAUGAGAAGCCCGCGCACCGCAACCAAGAGUAGCUCCGGCCUGCUGCAACUGGAGAAAGCCCGCAAGCAGCAACAAAGACCCAAC